GACGAACGCUGGCGGCGUGCCUAAUACAUGCAAGUCGAGCGGACGGAUGGGAGCUUGCUCCCAGACCGUCAGCGGCGGACGGGUGAGUAACACGUGGGCAACCUGCCUGUAAGACUGGGAUAACUCCGGGAAACCGGGGCUAAUACCGGAUAACUCUUUCCCUCACAUGAGGGAAAGCUGAAAGAUGGCAUCUCGCUAUCACUUACAGAUGGGCCCGCGGCGCAUUAGCUAGUCGGUGAGGUAACGGCUCACCAAGGCGACGAUGCGUAGCCGACCUGAGAGGGUGAUCGGCCACACUGGGACUGAGACACGGCCCAGACUCCUACGGGAGGCAGCAGUAGGGAAUCUUCCGCAUUGGACGAAAGUCUGACGGAGCAACGCCGCGUGAGUGAUGAAGGUUUUCGGAUCGUAAAACUCUGUUGUCAGGGAAGAACAAGUACCGGAGUAACUGCCGGUACCUUGACGGUACCUGACCAGAAAGCCACGGCUAACUACGUG
RNAcentral lists this ribosomal RNA (498 nucleotides) under uncultured bacterium. RNAcentral describes it as "partial 16S ribosomal RNA". It matches the Rfam family "Bacterial small subunit ribosomal RNA", at positions 28 to 507 of the family's 1533-position model. The record is from RNAcentral.